RNAcentral lists this ribosomal RNA (497 nucleotides) under uncultured bacterium. Its description in RNAcentral is "partial 16S ribosomal RNA". It matches the Rfam family "Bacterial small subunit ribosomal RNA", at positions 28 to 507 of the family's 1533-position model. The record is from RNAcentral.
GAUGAACGUUGGCGGCGUGCCUUAUACAGGCAAGUCGAGUGAACAGACGUGGAGCUUGCUCCUCUGACGUUAGCGGCGGAAGGGUCAGUAAUACGUGGAUAACCUACCUAUAAGACUGAGAUAUCUUCGGGAAACCGGAGCUAAUACCGGACAAUAUAUUGAACCGCAUGGUUCAAUAGUGAAAGACGGUUUUGCUGUCACUUAUAGAUGGAUCCGCGCCGCAUUAGCUAGUUGGUAAGGUAACGGCUUACCAAGGCAACGAUGCGUAGCCGACCUGAGAGGGUGCGCGGCCGCACGGGACCUGAGACACGGUCCAGACUCCUACGGGAGGCAGCCGUAGGGAAUCUUCCGCAAUGGGCGUAAGCUUGACGGAGCAACGCCGCGUGAGUGAUGAAGGUCUUCGGAUCGUAACACUCUGUUAGGAGGGACGAACAAAUGUGUAAGUAACUAUGCACGUCUUGACGAUACCUAAUCAGAAAGCCGCGGCGAACUACGUG